RNAcentral lists this ribosomal RNA (462 nucleotides) under Triticum aestivum (bread wheat). RNAcentral describes it as "partial small subunit ribosomal RNA". Lineage: Eukaryota; Viridiplantae; Streptophyta; Magnoliopsida; Poales; Poaceae. The record is from RNAcentral.
AUGGACGCGCACGUCCGUGAAACACUAUUUGGCCUAUGCAACUUUUUCGACGUCAUCUCUCGAAAGUCGGUUGGCGUGAGGCAACUCAGAAGGCUACAAGAAGAGAUCAUGGUGAUACUAUGCGAGCUUGAGAUAUACUUCCCGCCCGCAUUCUUCGAAGUUAUGGUGCAUCUGCUGGUCCAUAUCGUGGAGGAUAUCAUCCAACUCGGGCCGACGUUCGUGCACAGCAUGAUGCCAUUCGAAAGGAUGAAUGGUGUCAUCAAAGGAUACGUUCGCAACAUGUCAUGUCCAGAGGGAAGCAUAGCUAGGGGCUUUCUGACCCAAGAGUGCAUCUCCUACUGCACGAAUUAUCUAGGCAUCGAGAGCCCCGUUGGUCUGCCCGUCAACAGGCACCUCGGCAGGCUCGCUGCAUGGGGUCACCGUGAGGGUCGCCGCGAAAUGCAUGUCAACUUCGAGGGAUGA